CCUAGAGAUAGGGCUUCUCCUUCGGGAGCAGAGUGACAGGUGGUGCAUGGUUGUCGUCAGCUCGUGUCGUGAGAUGUUGGGUUAAGUCCCGCAACGAGCGCAACCCUUGAUCUUAGUUGCCAUCAUUUAGUUGGGCACUCUAAGGUGACUGCCGGUGACAAACCGGAGGAAGGUGGGGAUGACGUCAAAUCAUCAUGCCCCUUAUGACCUGGGCUACACACGUGCUACAAUGGACGGUACAAAGAGCUGCAAGAC
Molecule: ribosomal RNA, 255 nt
Filed under: Bacillus anthracis (anthrax bacterium)
Lineage: Bacteria; Bacillati; Bacillota; Bacilli; Caryophanales; Bacillaceae
Also listed under: 3 other names
Description: partial 16S ribosomal RNA
Rfam family: Bacterial small subunit ribosomal RNA
Source: RNAcentral